AGCGUGGAGACAGGUGGUGCAUGGCUGUCGUCAGCUCGUGUCGUGAGAUGUUGGGUUAAGUCCCGCAACGAGCGCAACCCUCACCCCUAGUUGCCACCGGGUUAAGCCGAGCACUCAAGGGGAACUGCCAGCGUCAAGCUGGAGGAAGGCGGGGAUGACGUCAAGUCAUCAUGCCCCUUACGCCCUGGGCUACACACGUGCUACAAUGGCCAGUACAAAGGGACGCGAGACUGCGAAGUGGAGCUAAUCCCAAAAAGCUGGUCUAAGUUCAGAUUGCAGUCUGCAACUCGACUGCAUGAAGGAGGAAUCGCUAGUAAUCGCGUAUCAGCCCGGCGCGGUGAAUACGUUCCCGGGCCUUGUACACACCGCCCGUCACACCACGAAAGCUGUCUGUACUCGAAGUCGCUGAG
This 410-nucleotide ribosomal RNA is filed under the name uncultured Methylomirabilota bacterium. RNAcentral's name for it is "bacterial SSU rRNA". It matches the Rfam family "Bacterial small subunit ribosomal RNA", at positions 1025 to 1434 of the family's 1533-position model. The record is from RNAcentral. Lineage: Bacteria; Methylomirabilota (SeqCode).